This 296-nucleotide long non-coding RNA is filed under the name Ananas comosus (pineapple). Its description in RNAcentral is "long non-coding RNA (ACOM_LNC003791)". The record is from RNAcentral. Lineage: Eukaryota; Viridiplantae; Streptophyta; Magnoliopsida; Poales; Bromeliaceae.
GUAAUCCGACAACAUACAUUCGAGUGUGAGCAUAUCACCUUAAAGGAAGUAAACUUACAUGCCUCAAGACCAUAAUUUACUUAAUCUCUAUUCAUAUUUCCCAACAGGUUGACCUUGAGAUUUGUCAUUAUGCUUGUGAACAUGGACCUAUUUGGUUUCAUUAACACUUUUCGAGAGUAUCGCUUGGCUUUUUAUUAUUGCCUACAGGCAUUGAUUAGACUGUUGAGUCUGAAUUGUUGGAGCAAAUGUAUGUGACUAUAGCUUGAGAUGGUGCUUUGCUUCUAGAUAGGGCUCAC